Molecule: long non-coding RNA, 1052 nt
Filed under: Numida meleagris (helmeted guineafowl)
Lineage: Eukaryota; Metazoa; Chordata; Aves; Galliformes; Numididae
Description: lncRNA (ENSNMEG00000000295.1)
Source: RNAcentral
CUGCUGCUGUGCAGGCAGGGCAUGUGGGCGUCCUUGGAAAAACCCCAGGCUCAUGCAGAUGCCACGUGUCUGCUGACUAGGUGAGAGCCUUGGGGCUCCGUCUCACCUUGUUGUGGAUGGCUGUGCUGAGGGAAACAGCUGCCAGGACCCUUCCCACGCACUUGGGGAGUUCUCCUGCAGGGCAGAGUAUCACCUGUGUUGGAGCGGGGGAAGCUGUGAGUCAUUGGCUGUGUCGUUCCUGCAUGACCGUGUGUCUCCUUCUUGUGCCAGAGCAGAUGUGCAGUGUCCUCCUCCGCAACCAGCUCAUCUCAAGGGGUGUGAUGCGGUCCAUGUCCCAGUGGCUGAACUCCUCCCACUCAGAAAACCUUCAGCUCACAGCAAUGGCUCUCUGUGCUGAGGUGAGGCAGCUGCAAGAGGAGAGUUCUUCUUAAGAAACUGCUGCUUGGCUUGUCGUCUUCUUUGGGAAGAGGGUGAUAGAGAGGAGAGUCAUCAUUAAGACUCCAAAGGAUGCUCCUUUACACAAUGCCUGUUCAUAUGCUGUGCCAGGGCUUAAGCUGUAUCUUGGUGCUCAGGGACAUGUCGCUUUAUUUUAGUGGAUGAAAGAACCACCGAUCACAGAGAGGAAGUUCCUGGAGAGUGUCCUGGACAUCUUGAUGGAGAAAGCACAGCACAGAAUCAACGCUGUGCGACAGAUGGCAGUGAGACGCCUGGGCAACACAUUCAGAAGAGCAUCUGAGAAGGUGCGAAAGCACAAGAAGGCCAUUCUGGAAGUACUGCAGAGAUGCGUGGAGGACGUUGCCUGUCCCCAGCUGGUUGCUGAGAGCAUGCUUGUGCUGGCUAAGAUGGUGAGAAAGCUGCGCCCAAAGGACUUGGGGUCUGCCUUUGAAGACAUCGCCAGGAUGUUCUUUGAAGCUGUGAGUGAACCAAUUCUUUCUCUUUUGCACUCUGCUUUAACGAGAGGCAUUUCUUGGGCCACCAUCCUCCAUAUCCUGAGGAGGCAGCGCACAGAUGCUGAUAGAGCUCGGUUAAGAGGUCCCCAGUUACCCAGCUAG